Molecule: small nuclear RNA, 100 nt
Filed under: Meriones unguiculatus (Mongolian gerbil)
Lineage: Eukaryota; Metazoa; Chordata; Mammalia; Rodentia; Muridae
Source: RNAcentral
GUGCUCAUUAGCAGCACAUAAACUAAAACUGGAAUAGAGAAGGUUAGCAUGGCCCCCCGUCAAGGAAAACACACAAAGCUGUGAAGUGUUCCAUGUUUAA